AUGAGGGAGGGAAUUUGCUGCCCACUGUGAGCUUAAACCUGCAGCUUGUCCUUCUGGCUGCAUUUGGACAAAUUCAGACAAAAAGUUUAUGUCAGGAGAAGAUGGAUCAGAAAAGAGCAAUGGGAUUUUACGCAGGCUGUGGCUUUCAAAAUCAGAGUCCUUCUUGUUUGUUGGUGGGAAUGCUUAGCAGCCUGCUACGAUAUGGCCACAGAGCUGUGCAAGGGGUGAGAUAUCUAACAGGUCAGCAAAUCUGGUCAAGUAAUGGAAGUUACCGUCUGCCUAGCAAAAGCUCAUCCCUGGCCAUGGGACUUCAGACCAUUCCUCUGUUUUGAGCAAGGUUUUCACUUAGGAAAGACGAUAAAUUGCUGUGCCCUGGUGGAGAUUAAAAGCCGAUUGAUGAGUCCAUCCCAUGAGCAUGCUUCUGACCAAAGCUGGACCAGCUGAGGAAGAAC
Molecule: long non-coding RNA, 452 nt
Organism: Pezoporus occidentalis (night parrot)
Lineage: Eukaryota; Metazoa; Chordata; Aves; Psittaciformes; Psittacidae
Exons: 3
Source: RefSeq, a predicted model, not a curated record